Molecule: ribosomal RNA, 207 nt
Filed under: uncultured bacterium
Lineage: Bacteria
Description: partial 16S ribosomal RNA
Rfam family: Bacterial small subunit ribosomal RNA
Source: RNAcentral
CGUGUAGGCGGUUCGGCAAGUCAGAGGUGAAAUGUCCCGGCUCAACCGGGGACCUGCCUUUGAAACUGCCGGACUUGAGGCCGUGAGAGGAAAUUGGAAUUCCUAGUGUAGCGGUGAAAUGCAUAGAUAUUAGGAAGAACACCAGUGGCGAAGGCGAGUCUCUGGCACGGUUCUGACGCUGAGGCGCGAAAGCUAGGGGAGCGAACG